AGAGUUUGAUCCUGGCUCAGGAUGAACGCUGGCGGCGUGCUUAACACAUGCAAGUCGAACGAACCUUCGGGUUAGUGGCGGACGGGUGAGUAACGCGUGAGAAUCUGCCCUCAGGAGGGGGAUAACGGUUGGAAACGACCGCUAAUACCCCAUAUGCCGCGAGGUGAAAUGAAUUUCGCCUGAGGAUGAGCUCGCGUCUGAUUAGCUAGUUGGUGGGGUAAGAGCCUACCAAGGCAUCGAUCAGUAGCUGGUCUGAGAGGAUGAUCAGCCACACUGGGACUGAGACACGGCCCAGACUCCUACGGGAGGCAGCAGUGGGGAAUUUUCCGCAAUGGGCGCAAGCCUGACGGAGCAACGCCGCGUGAGGGAUGAAGGCCUCUGGGCUGUAAACCUCUUUUAUCAAGGAAGAAGAUCUGACGGUACUUGAUGAAUAAGCCACGGCUAAUUCCGUGCCAGCAGCCGCGGUAAUACGGGAGUGGCAAGCGUUAUCCGGAAUUAUUGGGCGUAAAGCGUCCGCAGGCGGUCUUGUAAGUCURUCGUUAAAGCGKGGAGCUUAACUCCAUUUCAGCGAUGGAAWCUGUAAGACUAGAGUGUGGUAGGGGCAGGAGGGAAUUCCCGGUGAGCGGUGAAAUGCGUAGAUAUCGGGAAGAACACCAGUGGCGAAGGCGCUCUGCUGGGCCAUAMCUGACGCUCAUGGACGAAARCCCAGGGGAGCGAAAGGGAUUAGAUACCCCCUGUAGUCCUGGCCGUAAACGAUGAACACUAGGUGUCGGGGGAAUCGACCCCCUCGGUGUCGUAGCCAACGCGUUAAGUGUUCCGCCUGGGGAGUACGCACGCAAGUGUGAAACUCAAAGGAAUUGACGGGGGCCCGCACAAGCGGUGGAGUAUGUGGUUUAAUUCGAUGCAACGCGAAGAACCUUACCAGGGUUUGACAUCCUGCGAAUCUCUUGGAAACGAGAGAGUGCCUUCGGGAACGCAGUGACAGGUGGUGCAUGGCUGUCGUCAGCUCGUGUCGUGAGAUGUUGGGUUAAGUCCCGCAACGAGCGCAACCCACGUCGUUAGUUGCCAGCAUUCAGUUGGGCACUCUAGCGAGACCGCCGGUGAUAAACCGGAGGAAGGUGUGGAUGACGUCAAGUCAUCAUGCCCCUUACAUCCUGGGCUACACACGUACUACAAUGCUACGGACAAAGGGCAGCAAACUCGCGAGAGCUAGCAAAUCCCAUAAACCGUGGCUCAGUUCAGAUUGAGGUCUGAAACUCGACCUCAUGAAGUUGGAAUCGCUAGUAAACGCCGAUCAGCUAUGCGGCGUUGAAUAUGUUCCUGGAUCUUGUACUCACCGCCCGUCAAGUCAUGAAAGGCAGGGGCGCCCGAAGUCGUGUUAUCCCGUUCGCGGGAGCAUGCCUAAGGCGAAACUGCUGAUUGGGACUAAGUCGUAACAAGGUAACC
This 1446-nucleotide ribosomal RNA is filed under the name uncultured bacterium. RNAcentral's name for it is "16S ribosomal RNA". It matches the Rfam family "Bacterial small subunit ribosomal RNA". The record is from RNAcentral.